Molecule: unclassified non-coding RNA, 406 nt
Filed under: Hevea brasiliensis (rubber tree)
Lineage: Eukaryota; Viridiplantae; Streptophyta; Magnoliopsida; Malpighiales; Euphorbiaceae
Source: RNAcentral
GUCAAAAGGUGGAAAAUGGGUGUGGCUCAGAGAAAUCGAUGCCGGCGGCGGAGAAUUCUAAGGAAUUAUGCACCGCGCCGACUGUGGAUCCCGGAGAGCAUGGACCUGGCGGUGGUCCGAUCGCUGGAGUUGACGUGGGAGAAGGUGUGAGCUCUUUGAAGGAGGAUGCUGCACCAGCGGCCGUCGCUCUUACCACUCCUAUCGCCGAGGGAACUUCGCUGGUAGGGGAUAAGCCUAGGAGUUCAUUUUCAUCAUGGAGUCACUAUGCUGCGAAGCAGAAUCCAAAUUUUGAAACGACAACUCCUUGGUGUAGGCUUCUCUCACAGUUCGGUCAGAACUCCAAUGUUGAUAUUUUCUCGUCAAAUUUUACCAUUGGUUCUAGUAGAGGUUGCAACUUUCCCUUGAA